Lactuca sativa (garden lettuce) is the source of this 4482-nucleotide RNA transcript. It is a transcript of the gene named disease resistance protein RUN1, with no coding region annotated. The record is from RefSeq and is a predicted model, not a curated record. Lineage: Eukaryota; Viridiplantae; Streptophyta; Magnoliopsida; Asterales; Asteraceae.
CAAUUCAAAAAUCGGAAUAGUCUAAUUUGACAAUUAGGUUUUCAUCUUCCAUCCUGUAGAUCCAGUUUCAAUGGCUUAGUUGAAAAUUUGCCGUUGACUUCAUCUUCCAUCCUGUAGAUCCAGUUUCAAUGGCUUCCAGUUCUUCCUCUAUCGCUAAUGCUGGCAGCUAUGACGUUUUCCUAAGCUUCAGGGGCGAAGAUACUCGUCAUUCUUUUACCGAUCAUCUUUACAAAACAUUAAGGGGAGCAGGAAUCGGUACUUUUAGGGAUAACGAAGAAAUUAGGAGAGGUGAAGAAGUGAAGCCGGAGAUCGAGACAGCAAUUAAAGAAUCUAAGGCUUCAAUCGUUGUAUUGUCAGAAAACUAUGCAACUUCCCCUUGGUGCCUUGACGAGCUUGUUCUGAUCCUUGAACAAAGGAAGGAGGGGAAUCAUUUCGUUUUACCUGUUUUUUAUCAUGUUGAUCCUUCUGAUGUGAGGAAACAAAAUAAAUCUUUCACAAUUGAAGUCAAAGGCUCUUCAAGGUGGACAGAUCACAACGUGAACACGUGGAAGAAAGCUCUUACAGAGGUUGCUAAUUUGGCGGGCAUGGUUCUGUCCGGGCCCGAAACAACUUUUUUGAAGGAAAUUGUUGACACCAUUUACAAUAAGCUGGAUCGCAAAGAAGUACAUCUUCCACCCAAUCUAACAGGGAUGGCCACUCGAUACGAGGAGAUCAAUUCCUGGUUAAAUCAAUCAAAUAUCGAAUUUUUAGCAAUUUGUGGCAUGGGUGGUAGUGGCAAGACAACUCUGGCCAAGUAUAUUUACGAUUCAAAUUGGAGAUAUUUUGAAAACACAAGUUUUGUUGAAAACAUUGGUCGAAGAUGUAAGGAAUCCCAUGAUUUGCUUGAGCUACAAGAACAACUUCUCAACGAUAUUUUAGGCGGUAAGAAAAGAAAAAUACCCGGUGUUUCUCAGGGUACAUGUAAGAUUGAGGAAGCCUUACGAACAAAAAGGACGCUUAUUGUUCUUGAUGACAUUGCUGAACAAAAUCAGUUGGUCGAUUUACUUGGAACUGGAACAAUCAAUGCACAAAGCAAGAUUAUAAUAACUACAAUUAGGGAAAAUACAAAAAAUUGGUUCAAGUCCACAUAUUAUAGGUGUCAAGAGUAUAAAAUAAAAUUAUUAAAUGAGGAUGAGUCGUUAGAGCUUUUAAGUCGUCAUGCAUUUGGUUCCAAAGUUCCCAUGGAAGGUUUCGAAGAGCUUGCAAUACAAGCAAUACGAUAUUGUGAAGGAAAUCCUCUCGCUGUUGAAGUGUUGGCUUCUUCUCUAUCCAAUGAAAAUACCAUUUUAUACUGGAAAAGUCGAUUGAAUUUCUUGGAUAAAGAUUUUGAUUCUCGAAUCCAAAGUGUACUUAUAACGAGCUACGAGUCAUUGCCAUCUAUCUUAGAGAAAGAAUUAUUUUUGCAUAUUGCUUGUUUCUUUAUUGGCAAAGACAAGGAUUAUGUGGUAAAGAUAUUGGAGCUAGAUUAUUGUGCAUUAUCUGGGAUCAAAACCCUAUCCAACAAAUGCCUUCUUUCCGUUUCACCAAAUAAUAAACUGAUGAUGCAUCGAUUGAUUCAAGAAAUGGGGAAAAAUUUGGUUCGUCAAGAGUCACCAAAAUUCCCUGCAAGACGUAGUAGAGUCUGGCUUAGUAGUGAUUCUUAUAAGAUAUUUCGUAAGGGAGAGGGUUCAGAAACAAUGGAAGGUUUAGCACUUGACAUGCAAUUGUUAAAGGAAGAUAAGGUUGCAUUCAAGUCACUAGACCUCAAGACAGAUGCACUUAAAGAGAUGGAUAAACUAAAAUUGCUCCACUUAAAUUUUGUGUAUCUCAACGGGUCUUACGAGAAUUUUUCUGAAGAUUUACGAUGGCUCUGCUGGCUUGGAUUCCCUUUAACAACCAUACCCUCUGACUUAUUCAUGGGAAACUUGGUGGCUUUAGAUAUGAGCUACAGCAAAUUGGAAGUAUUUGAUCCGCCCAUGGUUCUUCAGUCAUUGCAGAUUCUAAAUCUUAAAGACUCAUAUGAUCUAUUUGAAAUCCGCAACAUGUCAAUGAUUCCUCAGCUUGAGACUUUGAUUCUUUGGAACUGUCACAGUCUUGUUCGUGUUUGUGAAACCAUUGGAGACCUGACGAGUCUUGCACUACUAAACAUGACAGGGUGUAAAAAGUUGUUAGUAGGAGUUGCAGAACAACAUACGUUUUCCUUCCCACAUUCAUUACACCGAUUAUUCCUCAAAGACUGCAAUCUUGAGUGUACCAAGUCUUUUCCUCUGACUUUCAGUGUUCAAAUAUCUUUGCAGUACUUGAAUUUAGGCAAUAGUCUAUUUGAGUGUCUACCUUGUUAUGAUCAUCUAAAACAUCUUCGGGUCCUUGACUUGAGUUUCUGCUCAAGACUUAAAUGGCUUGUAUAUCUCCCAAGUACGCUUGCAGAAUUGUAUGUAUACUACUGUGUGUCAUUGGAGAUAAUAACUUUCCAAGAACACCGAUUCACAUUGCAAGAGUUUGGCUAUGAAGGAUGUAUUUCUUUGUCUGAAAUUGAAGGCUUUAUUAGAUUGGUGCCUUUAACCAAACUUGAGGAGAAUGAUUUGGCACACAUGAAGUGGCUAAAAGAAUAUCAAAAUCAGGAGGUUUGCCUGGUUGGUGAUGAUGAGCUCACCAAAGGCAGAACUCAGUGUGUCCAUAUGUUGUAUGAAUUCGAUAUAAUGAGCACAUCUCUGCCAGACAUAAAGGAUCCAAACCUGAAGCCUAUGUAUGUAUCAGCAUCAUCAACUUUGUCCUUUGACGUGCCUGUGUGUCCCAAGAAUAGGAAGCUCAAAGGACUUGAUGUAACUCUAAGAUAUACAAUAUCAGGUGAUGAUGAUUUUGCAUGGUUCUGUAAAAUCACUACUUCCAAUGGUGAUGAUUUGAUGUACAACCCCAAAGUCUUUGGAAAACCUGAUUCUUGGAAAGUUGGUAUAUGGUUCAGCUAUUGGCCAAUUGGAAACACAUUGAAUGUUGGAGAUAAAGUAAGUGUCUCUAUUGUUGUAAUGAGUGGAUUGGAGGUAUCUGAAUGUGGCGUGAACCUUGUUUAUGCUGAUGAUGAAGCAGCUGAGGAAACCUUGGAAAAUAACAAGGGAUGGGUAGAAAUUCUUGGAGGAGAUUUGUCUAGAUUCCAACUAAGCACAGGAGCAUACUAUCUUUGUUGUCGUGAUUUUUAUGAGUUGAUGGAGGUUGGUAGACUAACUCCUGACUGGUUUAGAAUUUUAGUUGGUGAUACUGUUGACAACAUAGAGGUACGAGGAUGGAGAAAGACAGGUCGACCUAAGCAGUUGAAUCCAUCAUUUACAGAGUUGAAAACUGUUCAAUGCAUCAUCCAUGGUCCUCAAUCGGAGGAAAUAUACAAGGUCGCAGAGAUGUCAAAAUCAUCUUUUGUGGAUAAAACUUCAAGCAUGCUUGUGAAUAAAAUGAAAUCUGGCACAACAUUUAAAUUUAAUGAUGCAACAACAAAGGCAGGGGACGUGCCUGGAGCUGCAGCUGCAACUGCAUCUGCAUCUGCAUCUAAAUUUGUUGAUGAGUUUCUUGCUUCUCGCUUAGCUCAAGUAAAGGAUCAAGUAAUGGAAGCAGACAAAUCAAGAGGUGGUAUGUUUGAUGGAUUAUUUAGAAGCAAGUUUUACACCAAAUGCAAGUCACAGAUCAAGAUGAUGGAGACACGACUUGAUUUGAUAAUGACAAACAGGAAUGCAACCCAGAAGUAUUUGAGGAGCGAUGUUGCUGACCUUUUUAAGAACGGGCUUGAUUCCAAUGCCUACAAAAGGGUUGGACAGUUAUAUGUUGAACAGAAUCUGUCAUCAUGUUAUGAAUUCAUAGAACAAUCAUGCUUGCUCAUUUUAAAUUAUCUCCCAGCCAUGGCUAAACAAAGGGAAUGCCCUGAGGAAUGCCAUGAAGCUAUCUCCACUUUGAUGUUUUCUGCAACAAGCUUUCCUGAUCUGCCAGAAAUGCGCAAACUAAGAAGUUUAUUUGCUGACAAAUAUGGAAAUCAUCUUGAACCUUAUGUCAACAAAGAGUUUGUAAAGAAAUUGAAGGCAGACCCUCCCACUAAAGAUAUAAAGCUUCAAAUGAUGCAAGAGAUUGCACGGGAGUGUGGUAUAGAGUGGGAUUACAAGGCUUUUGAACAGAAAUUGGAAAAACAACCUCCAUUUGAAUAGGUCAUAUCAAAGGAAAAGUUAUGGUGUUAGGCGAAGCUCAAUCCAAAUCACAAGUCAUCUACUUUUAACAAGUAGCAAUAUGAAGGUACAAGGAAAGCAAUAUUUGAAUAUGUUGAGAGACUUAACGAGUUUUAUGGCUACUGAAUAAAUUUAUGUAAUAUAUGUAAAGAUUUAGUUUAUGCUUAUAUUUUUGUAUUAGUUAUUACAUCCAAAGCUUCUAAACAUGAAUGAAAUACGUUUCUUCAGAAAUACUUUUGAUAUUGAUAUCAUUUCACAUUAAUAA